ACAUGAUGAAUUCCUAGAUGACGAGUCUUAUUGGGGUUUCCCAUGCAGACAAACUUCUUUUAUACCAUUCAUGCAUUCCUGACA
RNAcentral lists this small nucleolar RNA (84 nucleotides) under Escovopsis weberi. Lineage: Eukaryota; Fungi; Ascomycota; Sordariomycetes; Hypocreales; Hypocreaceae. The record is from RNAcentral.